CCUACGGGUGGCUGCAGUGGGGAAUAUUGCACAUUGGGCGCAAGCCUGAUGCAGCCAUGCCGCGUGUGUGAAGAAGGCCUUCGGGUUGUAAAGCACUUUCAGCGGGGAGGAAGGCGUUAAGGUUAAUAACCUUGGCGAUUGACGUUACCCGCAGAAGAAGCACCGGCUAACUCCGUGCCAGCAGCCGCGGUAAUACGGAGGGUGCAAGCGUUAAUCGGAAUUACUGGGCGUAAAGCGCACGCAGGCGGUCUGUCACGUCGGAUGUGAAAUCCCCGGGCUCAACCUGGGAACGGCAUUCGAAACUGGCAGGCUAGAGUCUUGUAGAGGGGGGUAGAAUUCCAGGUGUAGCGGUGAAAGGCGUAGAGAUCUGGAGGAAUACCGGUGGCGAAGGCGGCCCCCUGGACAAAGACUGACGCUCAGGUGCGAAAGCGUGGGGAGCAAACAGGAUUAGAUACCCGGGUAGUC
RNAcentral lists this ribosomal RNA (465 nucleotides) under uncultured Klebsiella sp. RNAcentral describes it as "bacterial SSU rRNA". It matches the Rfam family "Bacterial small subunit ribosomal RNA", at positions 338 to 795 of the family's 1533-position model. Lineage: Bacteria; Pseudomonadati; Pseudomonadota; Gammaproteobacteria; Enterobacterales; Enterobacteriaceae. The record is from RNAcentral.